ACGAACGCUGGCGGCGUGCUUAACACCUGCAAGUCGAACGGAAAGGCCCUGCUUUUGUGGGGUGCUCGAGUGGCGAACGGGUGAGUAACACGUGAGUAACCUGCCCUUGACUUUGGGAUAACUUCAGGAAACUGGGGCUAAUACCGGAUAGGAGCUCCUGCUGCAUGGUGGGGGUUGGAAAGUUUCGGCGGUUGGGGAUGGACUCGCGGCUUAUCAGCUUGUUGGUGGGGUAGUGGCUUACCAAGGCUUUGACGGGUAGCCGGCCUGAGAGGGUGACCGGCCACAUUGGGACUGAGAUACGGCCCAGACUCCUACGGGAGGCAGCAGUGGGGAAUAUUGCACAAUGGGCGGAAGCCUGAUGCAGCAACGCCGUGUGCGGGAUGACGGCCUUCGGGUUGUAAACCGCUUUCGCCUGUGACGAAGCGUGAGUGACGGUAAUGGGUAAAGAAGCACCGGCUAACUACGUG
RNAcentral lists this ribosomal RNA (467 nucleotides) under uncultured bacterium. RNAcentral's name for it is "partial 16S ribosomal RNA". It matches the Rfam family "Bacterial small subunit ribosomal RNA", at positions 29 to 507 of the family's 1533-position model. The record is from RNAcentral.